Molecule: long non-coding RNA, 867 nt
Organism: Cyclopterus lumpus (lumpfish)
Lineage: Eukaryota; Metazoa; Chordata; Actinopteri; Perciformes; Cyclopteridae
Exons: 3
Source: RefSeq, a predicted model, not a curated record
UCAUACACAUACAACUAAGUUAUGAUGACACAUGGUUUGUCAUAAUUUUCCACACCCUUGAGACUAUUUACGUGAAUUGUAUUACAUUACACAGAGAGCUCACUGACUAACAUGGUAUGUCUUGAUCAUACAAAAAGCAAGUUGUAAAAUGUUGUGGUUUUGUGGGAAUUUAUGUGAUUGACUUCCUGGGUUCUGUGUAAUAAUGACAGAUCCAAGCAACCCGAGCAUCCACGCAACCAGAGAUACCGUCAUUCGGUGUUUGAUGGUGUACCCUGGGGAAUCCACGGAUCAACUCUUAAAAGAAUAUGAUGAUGCAGUGUGGCGCAGGACCUUGCCACACAAAAGAUAAAAAUCUAUACGGUGGAGGGUUCUGAUGAUGUCGGUAUCGUUUUAGAGGGACUAAAAGUUGUGACUGCUCUGGAUAACAUUCUGAGGGCUCGCUGCAUGCUGGUUGGGUUGGCGUAUGCAGUCAACCUUGCCUAUCCCAACGAGCUCCGAUAUACUUUCGAGGUCUUUCAGAAACUCCUACUGGAGCUGGACUGUUCAAAGCUGUCCCCGAAAGUAAACAGCCUCAAGAACAAACUGUUAACCUAAUAGAAUGGACCCUUGUUGAACAAUUUAUAUGUCACUGUUCAAAACUCACCUGUGAUUAAGUUCAACUCGUUCAAUGCUUAAGUUUAUUAUUUUUUUAAGGAUCCCAGUGAGAAGUGUAGUUGUGCCAUGUUAUUUGAUGCACAAGCAGCUGUUCAUGUAGUGUUUUAACUGUAAGCCGGAAUUGCAUAUUGUGUGUUUUUAUAGAGAAGUUUGCACAUGAAGAAUUUUAUAUAAAUGUAACAAAUUUGCACAAAUAAAUGUUUACCUGCUGUA